RNAcentral lists this transfer RNA (75 nucleotides) under Candidatus Bathyarchaeota archaeon. Its description in RNAcentral is "tRNA-Val". It matches the Rfam family "tRNA". From Rfam's summary of the family: Transfer RNA (tRNA) molecules are approximately 80 nucleotides in length. Their secondary structure includes four short double-helical elements and three loops (D, anti-codon, and T loops). The record is from RNAcentral. Lineage: Archaea; Thermoproteati; Candidatus Bathyarchaeota.
GGGCCGGUCGUCCAGCCCGGUUAGGACGUCCGCCUGACGCGCGGAAGGCCGCCGGUUCGAAUCCGGCCCGGCCCA